GUUAAGUUAUUAAAAUAUAGAAUUUUUAAAAAAUAUUUAUUUUUUAGGUGUAGAUGGACACAACACAAUGCCUUUAUUUUUAUGUGGUGCUGAGGAUCGAACCCAGGUUCCGCCCGUGCUAGGCGAGCGCUCUACUGCUGAGCUACAAUCCCAGGCCAAAAUAUAGAAUUUUUAAAAAGAGAAAUGAAAACCAAUAGACAUUUGCAGAUAAUGCAUUGAUAUUUAGUGUAUUGUUUUACAUUUUUCAGAGAGAAAGAAACAUUGAAAUCAUGGUCUAAUUCUUGGAGGUAGGAAUUACAUUUAGUGUGGUCUAACCUGGGAUUAUAGGUUUUAUAAUGUGGUAAUUUAAGUCCUCCUCCCAGAAUCAGAUAUGCUUCAUAUAAAGAUCCAAAACCAUGUGUACUACUCUACUCACAGAGUUUUGCUAACAGUAUAGGGGUGGCAGUAAACACAUCAGCUAUAACCAUCAGAGACCCUCCUAAUGCUGGUAGUAAGAACAAUAUUGAUUGAAUUCUUGGUAUAUGUCAGGCACUGAAACCACAACUUUACAUAAAUAACUCAUUUAAUUCUCACAAUAACUCUGUGAAAUAUGUACUAUUAUUAGCCGCAUUUUAUAGAUGGGGGGAUCAAGGGAUAGCUGGAGUAGCAAAGAGAUCCCAGGAACUGAGCUGUCCAGAUGCAAAUCUGAGAGCAGAGAAACCUUAUGUUCAUCACAUUUUGGAGAUAAUUACUCUUAUCAAGAUAGAUAUUUCUUUUUAAAAAAUCUUUAUUUUUCAUUUUUAUGUGGUGCUGAGGAUCGAACCCAGUGCCCCAUGCAUACAAGGCCAGUUGUCUACCACUGAGCCAACCCAAGAUAGAUAUUUCUUUAUGUCAGAAAGUACAAAGGUAUAUAGGGGAUAGGAAUAGGAAAGACAGUGGAAUUAGUCUGACAUAACUUUCCUAUGUACAUAUAUGAAUACACCACAGUGAAUCUUACCACCGUGUACAUCCACAAGACUGAAAUCCUAAUUAAAAUAAAAUAUAUCCCAUGCUUAUAUAAAUAUAUAAGAAUGGAUUGUACUGUCAUGUAUAACUAAAAAGAACUACUAAAAAAUAAACAGAUGCAUUAAUGACAUUUUGGUAGGAAAAAAGAGUAUUAGGAAGCCUAGGCAUGUGGUGGAGAAGGGAAGAAUAGAGGUAGUGGUAUGGGAGUUGAAAGUGAUUAGAGAGGAAAGUAGGGUAUUCAAAGACAAGCUAUAUUUACUGUUCAAGUCAUUGUUUUCUGAAUGAAAAUAAUUAUUUGCUAAAAUUAAAAUAAUUAUAUUUAAAAAAUUUAAAUAAUUUUUAAAAUUAAGAAUGUGAUGAUGACUGAAACUGGGGGAAAUGGACACUCAUAGUUGAUGAAAGAAUAUAAGUUGGACAAAAUCUCUCAAGCUAAUAUGAGUAAGAGUCAAAAAUUUAAAAAGUUUAUUAAAUAUUUGUUGAGUAACUUCUUUGUGCCAAGCAAUAUGCACACUGAAUUCAUUUAAAUAUUAUAUUUAAUGAAUAAAAUUGUCACAGGUCUAAAAGUUGGAUUUGAGUGUAGUAGAAAACUUGUCAUUUUCUUUCAGAAUUCCAAAUGUGCACAUUCCCUUGGACCAACAUUUCCACUAAUAGAAUAAAUAUUCCCCAGGUGUAUAUGCAUUUUUCUAAAUGACAUAUGUCUAAGGUUAUUCUAUGCAGGAUUUUUGUUUACAAUAUAAUAUAUUAGAGAAAAACAAUUUAGAUGAAGAUCUUUAUGUUCUACUGUUCAUUUAAUAUUAGUAAAGCAGGGGAAGCUAAACAAAUGUUGUAUAUAUUUGGAUAUUCAUAUAAUAUAUGUGGGAAAGAACACAUAGAAACUAAUACAAGUUGAAUGAAGUCUAUCUCCCUUUUAUGUUCUUUUAAAAAAAAUUUUUUUAGUUGUAGAUGGACACAAUACCUUUAUUUUAUUAUUUUAUUUAUUUACAUGGUGCUGAGGAUCCAACCCAGUGCCUCACACGUGUAAGGGAAGCAUACUACCACUGAGCCACAAUCCCAGCCCCUCCCUUUUAUGUUCUAAUUGAAGAAUGAUUUAUGGAGCUUAUGUGUACUAGAUAACUGGAAGAAGACUGUUGUUCUGAGAGAGAGGCACAGGAGAGUUUUAGCUCCAAAUCGAAAAGGCAUCUGGGAAGCCAGACAAUAACGACCACAUAUUGUGUUAUUACAUUUAAAAAUAUCCAGAAGAUUGUAACUCCAGCUGUUUGAGAGACUGAGGCAGGAGGAUGGCAAGUUCAAAGCAAGCCUCAGCAAUUUAGCAAGGCCCUGAACAACUUAGUGAGAAUCUGUCUCUAAAUAAAUAAAUAAAUAAAAUAAGUAAAAUGGCUGGGGAUGUGGCUCAGUGAUUAAGUGCCCCUGGGUUCAAUCCUGGGUACCAAAACACAAAAACAAAAACUCAAACAAACAAAACAAAAAAACAAUCCAGAAGAGCAGGCAUGGUGGCACAUGCUUUAGUACCAGCUGCUUGGGAGUCUGAGGCAGGAGCAUUGAGUUGGAGGCCAGCAUGGACCUCCAGGAAAUCGAGAAGAGGCCAAUCUACAGACAAUAAAAGCAUCAAAUGAUUGCUCAGGGCUGGCGAUGAGAAUAUGCAGUGGAUGUAAAUGAGCACUAGGGAUCUUUCUGGGAUAACGGAAAUAUUCGAAAUUUAGAUAGUGUUGAUGGUUGCACAAGUUCACGAGUAUACUGUUGAAUCGUACAAUUUAAGUGGGAGGAUAUUAUGGUAUAUAAAUUAUACCUCAAUAAAGUUGUUAAAAACAAACAAAAAACAAGCCACCAUAUCUAAUAAAAGAAUUUUAAAACAGGACUCUGGACUGUGAAAGAAGAAAGUUGACCAAAGAAUCAAUUGUGAGAGCAGCAGCAACUCCAGGAAACCAAUUGUCAGUGAAAAUAACCUCAGGAUUCAUAGAGAGGCUUUAGUUCUUGGAAAGACUUGCAAAGGUCCAGGCAGGUGCUUUAAUGAUCAGCCCCAAACUCCUGUUCUUCCUCGGUAAUCUCCCCAUCCUCAGAAGUUAUACUUUUAAUAUAAUUAGAACAGGGUGCAAUAUAUGAUAGUGGUGUCUGGUACAAAGUAAGUGUUAAGUAAAUGUCACCUGUUAUUAUCUUUUACAUCCAGAUUAUUAAAACAAGCUCUUUAUUCAAUCUCCUUGUAUUAAGUCUCUCUCAUUCCUCUAGUUCAUCAUUUUACCAGCCACUUGAUAUACCUUACCUCAAAGAACAUGUCACUGCAGCAGGCAAUGCAUGAUGGGCUGGAUUGCUCCCUGAACAAGUCUGGAGAAAUGCUUGGAGACCCCGAGUUACCCAGCAAUGAAUAUCAUUCAUGUUGAACAAAAGCAGGGACUUAAUAAUGUUUAAUUUUACCCAAGGGCCAAUUAAGAAAUACUUUCACUUUUUUGUUUUCUAGGAAACAUUGCAAAGAACCACCCUCUCCCUGUUACUUGGAUAAGACCUCCUUGUUUACCUACAGACGCAGACCCUCCAAAUUCCCAUUCUUUGCCUCCCAAGUGAUUAGAUAAACUGUACUCGCUGACAAAUCAGGACAAUAUACCUGCUCCCUUGAUUUGACUAAAGUUAGUUAAGUUUUUCUGCUUACCCCAGGCCCUUUAAUUUUGACCCAUCCUUGGUUGAGCCAACACACAAUGACUCUUUAAUGGCUCAUUUCUUAGGGGGGAAAAAUUCACUGUCCAAUCCCCAUACUAUUUCAUUCCAGUUCUCCCCUCCUAGUUCUUUCCGUCCUUGUUCAUUUCUCCUUACAAAAGAAUAGCUAACAAUUUAAAUUUAAUUAAAAAAGGAUAGAGAACUGUGUCCUUAAAAGAACAGGAGAGUAGGAUACAGACAUGCAUGUGCAUAGAAGAAUGACCAUGUUUGAGCACAGUUGGAAACUGGACAUCUGCAAGCCAUGAAAAGAGGACUCAGAAAAAACCAAACCUACCAACAUCUGGAUCUCUGUCCUCAAGAACUGUGAGCAAAUAAAAUUCUGUUGUUUAAGCCACCCAGUCUCUGGUAUUUUGUUGUGACAGGCCUAGCAAACUAAGACACUUCUCAAAUUUGUUUGUUAUUCUUACAUAGGAGCACUGUGUAUUGUUUUAUUAUUUAGCAUAUGUGCUGUCAAAGUGAAGAAAUAUACAUGAUUUUUUCAUUUGAAGCUAUGCCCCUCCAUGCCUACAGCUUUUCCUGCUUUAUCUUCAGAUCCCCUUUUUUUCCUUUUGCUUAGUGAACCUCACAGGACAACUUUGAAAUAAAU
This 4276-nucleotide long non-coding RNA is filed under the name Marmota monax (woodchuck). Lineage: Eukaryota; Metazoa; Chordata; Mammalia; Rodentia; Sciuridae. The record is from RNAcentral.